GGGGCUGAUUCUGGAUUCGACGGGAUUUGCGAAACCCAAGGUGCAUGCCGAGGGGCGGUUGGCCUCGUAAAAAGCCGCAAAAAAAUAGUCGCAAACGACGAAAACUACGCUUUAGCAGCUUAAUAACCUGCUUAGAGCCCUCUCUCCCUAGCCUCCGCUCUUAGGACGGGGAUCAAGAGAGGUCAAACCCAAAAGAGAUCGCGCGGAUGCCCUGCCUGGGGUUGAAGCGUUAAAACGAAUCAGGCUAGUCUGGUAGUGGCGUGUCCGUCCGCAGGUGCCAGGCGAAUGUAAAGACAGACUAAGCAUGUAGUACCGAGGAUGUAGGAAUUUCGGACGCGGGUUCAACUCCCGCCAGCUCCACAA
Molecule: transfer-messenger RNA, 363 nt
Filed under: Salmonella enterica
Lineage: Bacteria; Pseudomonadati; Pseudomonadota; Gammaproteobacteria; Enterobacterales; Enterobacteriaceae
Rfam family: transfer-messenger RNA
About the family: Bacterial tmRNA, also known as 10Sa RNA or SsrA, is named for its dual tRNA and mRNA-like properties. Its role is to liberate the mRNA from a stalled ribosome. To accomplish this part of the tmRNA is used as a reading frame that ends in a translation stop signal.
Source: RNAcentral